GACGAACGCUGGCGGCGUGCUUUACACAUGCAAGUCGAACGGUGAAGGUGGAGCUUGCUCCGCCGGAUCAGUGGCGAACGGGUGAGUAACACGUGGGCAACCUGCCCCUAACUUUGGGAUAACUACUCGAAAGAGUAGCUAAUACCGGAUACGAAGUCUGUAGGCAUCUACGGAUUUGGAAAGUUUUUCGGUUAGGGAUGGGCCCGCGGCCUAUCAGCUUGUUGGUGAGGUAGUGGCUCACCAAGGCGACGACGGGUAGCCGGCCUGAGAGGGCGACGGGCCACACUGUGACUGAGACACGGCCCAGACUCCUACGGGAGGCAGCAGUGGGGAAUGUUGCGCAAUGGGCGAAAGCCUGACGCAGCAACGCCGCGUGCGGGAUGAAGGCCUUCGGGUUGUAAACCGCUUUCAGCAGGGAAGAAGCGAAAGUGACGGUACCUGCAGAAGAAGCACCGGCUAACUACGUGCCAGCCGCCGCCGUAA
RNAcentral lists this ribosomal RNA (483 nucleotides) under uncultured bacterium. RNAcentral's name for it is "partial 16S ribosomal RNA". It matches the Rfam family "Bacterial small subunit ribosomal RNA", at positions 28 to 523 of the family's 1533-position model. The record is from RNAcentral.